CAGUAUCUCAGUACAGGGUUAUAAUUGAGACAUCACUACACCCAGAGAAACUUGAUGCUAGAAUUUGUCAGAAAAAAAUGUAUUCUAAACUAAAGACUUCCAAUUGAACUGUUGGAAUAGGCUCUUUUUAUAAACUAGGGAUCACUAGCAAAAUCUCUUGUUUCCCUAUAUAUAGUCUUCAGUUUCUGAUCAAAUGUUCAGUGGUUUUCCAGUUGUAUCAGUUUUUGCAUGAAGAUCAAUCAACAUUUUAAUGAUACCAGGUAAAGUCAUCUACAUCCAUCUGACUUUAUUUUGACAUGGUUUCAUUUGAUAGGUGACAGGAAAUGAAACCAGGUUUUUCCUUCUUUGUACUGCCCUGGUGCCUGGAGCACAUGCACUCCGCUGCACACACCCCACUAUAGUCGUGUAUUCACUCACCUGUCUCACAUCAGACUGUGAACUCCUCUGUUGCAUGGACCAUGUUUUAACUCAUCUUGAGUCUUAGCACAAUAUCCUUCCACUCUUUCCUUGUCCAAUCCAUUUUCCACAGAGCAGCCAAAGAGAGCUUUUGAAACCAUAAAUCAGAUUUUGUCAUUUUCUUGCUUAAAAUCCUUCAAAGUCUUCCCAUUGCCUUAAAAUAAACUGUGCAUGCCUGACCAGGGCUCACUACCCCCUGUAGGCUCUGGCUCCUGUCUGCUCUCAGCCUUGCUCCAGGACUGCUGGCCUCUGCUCAGUGCUCAGUGCUGUGCUGCCCCAGGGCCUUGAGCUUGCUCUUUCCUCUGUCUGGAAUGCUCCUCUCUUGGCUUUUGCAUGGUUGGCUUCUUCUCAUGCUUCAAGUCUUAGAUGCUUAAAUGUCACCUUUAAUGUCAGAGAGAUCUUUCCCUGAACACUCCAUAUGAACUAUGUCUACCCUGUUGCUUUGUAUCUCUGCACCCCGCUUAAUUCCUUUAAAGAAAGUCUUCACUUAACAUUGUCAUGAAAACUACAUCUUUAAGCAAAAUGAUGUAUAAUGAAACCAAUUUUACUAUAGCCUAAUUGAUGGAAACAAGAGUUAAGUUCCCACGACGUAUUUCUGGUUACAAAAACAUCACCAAACUCCUAAAUAAAGACCAAAACACUUCUAAUAUUAAACAUUGAAAUAAAUGUGAGCUAUACAUACAUUUAAGAAAAAUUAAUCAAAACAAAUAAUUACAGAUUUGGAGGGAGAUAUUUUUAUAGUUUCAAAAAACAUUUUCAUACUGUACUGAAACUUCAUUUAGAAGAUUCUCAAAACAGGUAACAAAAGUUAAGUAAUGUGGUUUUAAGACAGUAAAAUAGCUUUAUGGCCAGUUAAGACAUAGGCUGGAGGGCCAGACACUGGUGCAAAUUUGGACUCUGAUGAUGUGUAGCUGUGUGACCUGGGACAAAUUAUUUAACGCUAGGUGCUUCAGUCUCCUCUGUAAAAUGAGGAUAAUAAUAGUGGCUACUUCACAGGGUGAUUAGGAGAAUUAAAUGAGUUAAUAUUUGUAAGUAACUCAGAAUAGUGCCAUGAAUGCCUAUCAUGGAAUCCAUUAUAUGGAGAUCUUAGGUGAUGAGUGGCUUAAAACCAAAGAUCUUCAGCUUUAGUGUAGUGAUGGCUUCCUGGGGCAGAAGUUAUUCAUGUAAACUCACAAAGCUGCUUCUCUCUGCCCUUCUGGGCAUGGGAGUAGGGCAGGAUGCUGGUGCUGCUGAACAGGAGAACUCGGAGCAUGUUGCAUUCUCACUCGUCAGAAAAUGGACAGAAACUUGAAAAAGAGAAAGAAAAAUAGCAACCAAUGCACAUCACUCUGAAGAAAAGCUGGGCCUGCAGUUUUCUGAAUAAGCAGGAUGAUUGGUGCCUCUAAUUUUCUGUCUCUAAUAGCAAUUGACUAAAGGACAUUCCUUCUCUUCUCUUUGUAGCCAGGACGGGGUUGCUAAGUGAGUCCCCCUAUGUGAGAAAUGAGUGUUUCUUGACAGGAGUUAGCAUUAUUCUCACACUCUCUUGUUAAACCACUAGUCUUUAAACUUUCACAAUUGUCUUCCCCUACCAAUACUAGAAACCUCAGUAAAGACUCUUAAUAAAUGUAUGUAUUCUUAAAUUAUGUGUGUGCACAUGUGUGUAUUACUCUACUUAUAACAUGAACAUUAAAAAAUUCUAUCCCUUGCCAUGCAAUUUAAGCAUACUGGAAUGCACUUGCUUGAAAAUAGCAUUAUUUCAGUUAUUGGUUAUUAGUAAUUAUUGGUAAAAAGAAAAAUUCCUUAUACUACAAUAGGCCCACAUGUGUCUCAAUACCAAGCCGAAGAAAGUCUGGAUUGGAAAGAGAAAAAGACUGAAGAGACUUCUGCUAGAACCUAGCAGGGAAGGGAUCAUAAAAGGAUGUUUGUUCAGCAAAUAUCCACUGAACACCUAUUUUGUGCCUUUGAACAAGACAGGCCCCUGCCCUAACAAGCCUGUGUUCUUCUGAGAGAAUCCAGCUGCCCCAUUACAUGACUCAAGAGGGUGCAUUUACGUAGGCUUCAUGGCUGCCCUGUGAGGGGAGGUGUUGAUGAGGGAAACCAGCGAACAUAUACUGUGUCAGAUAGAAGUAAAUGCUAUGAGGAAGAAUAUGCAGGGUGAAGGGGUAGAGUAUGAGAGAGGCUGAUCUUUCCCAUGGGGGAAAUCUUCUGAGAAUGGGGAUUUGAGCCUUGACCUGAAUGCUGGGAGGCAGCUAGUCCUGUGAAUAUUGGAGGAAGAGCAUUCUGGGUAUUUAUUUGGGGUCUCAUCCUUACAUCCUUGGUUAUAGGUGACUCAAGCUCAGCAGGCCCGAGAAUGACCUCCUGAAGGGCUGGCUGGCUCCUGGGGAACAGGAGGGCCCAUCCUCAGCAGCUGUGAGCUGCCACAUAAAUAAGGCCCAGGGCUUUGUUACAGCCAGUCUGCUCCCUGUCAGGCCUGACAAGGCAGCACACUUUGUGUUUGCUAAUAAUGGAUUUCCUUUCUGAGGCGCCAUCAGGCUCUGAAAGCACUAACCGAGUUGGUAAGCUGGGCUCCUCUUUUCCUACUUCUCCCGGUAGAAGGCUGCAUCCUCAGAAGCUCUUUCAGCCAUUUAUGAACAUAGAUUGCCAUUGUCUUGUAAAAAAUGAGUUUCUAAACCAUGUAAGCAGUUAAAUCACCAGCUGGCUAGACCCUAGACUUUAGCUACCAAGUAUUUUAGAAAAAUGGUCUUUUAUGACACUGCUUGUAGGGAAGUAGGAAGUUUCGUUGUAAGGGCGAUGGGGAGUUUUGGGAGUCUCUUUCCCCACAUAUUUCUACUGAACUGUUAAAACAAGUCCAACAAGGCAAUGAUUUAAAAAAAUUUAACAAUCUCCAACCCUGCUCUUCUCUAGUAACAUAUAUGGCAGAGGCCAAGAGUGUAAGCUCUAUGCCAGACUGCUGGGUAUAAAUCCUGCUUGCCACUUGCUAGCUGUGUGAUCUUGCACAAGUUAUUUCACCAAUUUUGUUCUCAAUUUCCUUAUCUGUAAAAUGAGACUGUAAAAUGGAACAUUCUUUUACUCACCUUAUGCAGUUGUUAUAGUGAAUGGGUGGUGCAUAAUGCUCUUAAAAUAAUACCUGCUACAAAGUAAGCACUAUUCUCAUAUUAGCUCUUACUAACAUAGCUAUCAUGAGAUGCUAUUUUUUUUGUUUGUUUUCUCUUAUGUCAUUAUAUAGAACUUGGCAACUCAUUUUUUUUUUCACUGAAUCCAUCAACAGGCAUCCUUCUAGAUUCAAAUCCAAGCAUAUGUAGAUAUUAUUAAUUUUUAACAACUGCCUAAUGCUACUUAAUAGGGAUCACCAGUUGUUUGAACACUACAUUUUUAGUAGGCAUUCAAUUGUUUCUAAGCUUUUACUCUUACAAAUAAUAUAGCAAUAGACUAUUGUACAUAUAUCCUUUUUUAUGUUGCUCUGUUUCUAAGUGAUAAAUUCUUUAAAGUGGGAUUGCUGGAUCAAAAGUCAUGAGCUUUUAAAAUGGUAAUAGAUAUCCCAAAAUAUCAUAGCAAUUUGCACUCAUACCAGAAAUAUAUGAGUGCUCAUUUCCCCAUGUGCUUACCAGCAGUGGAUAUUUUUAAUCUUUAAUUUUUUUCCAGUCCAGCAGGCAAAAAAUAGAAUCUCAUUGUCCUUUCAAUUGACAUAUCUCUGACUGCCAGCGAGGUUGGGUACAUCAAAAGGUUCUAAGUGGGGGCAUUAAAUAGUAAAAUUUCCAGUUUGAAAGAUCAGUAGGGCUACAACAUGGAAAGCUGAGAAG
RNAcentral lists this long non-coding RNA (4235 nucleotides) under Homo sapiens (human). RNAcentral's name for it is "HSALNT0320605". The record is from RNAcentral. Lineage: Eukaryota; Metazoa; Chordata; Mammalia; Primates; Hominidae.